Non-coding RNA from Phrynosoma platyrhinos (Desert horned lizard), 69 nucleotides. The record is from the annotation of a GenBank genome assembly. Lineage: Eukaryota; Metazoa; Chordata; Lepidosauria; Squamata; Phrynosomatidae.
AGCUUGGUGUAGUGGUUUGAGUGUCGGACUAUAACUCUGGAGGCCAGGGUUCAAAUUCGUGCUUGGCCA